AGGAAUCAAGAUGGCCGCCUGGGACCGCUCUCAGCCCCUUCGGCCUCUACCUGAAGAGCCACGCCCCGUCUGCUACACCCAACUGAUUGGUUCCUCAAUCACAGAGAGGAAAGGCAACAUGAGGAUGACGUCAGUUACAAAUAUGGCGUUUUGGACGGGCUCGAUAGUUUGCUUGGCCUCUACUCAAGGAAUGCUGAUGGUAUAGCAAGAAGGUAUUCUGAGCAUUAUAUCAAUGGGGAAGUUCUAGAUCUUUUGCAAAGCAGGAGCAAGCUGCCCUGUUGUGAGCUCUCCGGUGGAGAGCCCCACAUGGCAAGAAAAUGAGAAGCCCCCUGAACAGACAAGAGCUGAGGCCCAGGAUACAAUAUCCUGAAAAAAACUGAAUCCUGCUGACAGUUGCCCAAGUGAAGCUGGAAGUGGAUCUUUCUGCAGUGGAUCCUUGAGAUGACUGUAGCCCUGGCUGACAACUUGAUUGCUGCCUGUGAAGGACCCUGAACCAGAGGACUCAGCGAAAUUGUGCCCAGAUUCCUGACCUACAGAGGCAGUGAGAUAAUAAAUGCUGUUGAGGUCACAAAGUUUUGAGGUAUUUGUUAAUACAGCAAUGGAUACUUAAUACAGCUUCCUACAUGGUCUCCCUCCUUCGACCUUUACACUACAAUCUGUCGUCCACACAGCAGUCAGAGAUCCUUUUAAAACAUAAGUCAGAUCAUCAUGACACUCACCUCCCUGCUAAGUGUCCUGCAAGGCCUUUCACGGUCUGAUCCCCUAUCCUUUCUCUUUCCUCAUCUCCUAUCACUCUUGCCCUUGCAAAUUUUCUUCCAGCACUCUGGCCUCCUUGCUGUUCUUCAGUAUGGCAAGCAACCUGCUGCCCGGAGCCCACACACUGACUGUCCCCUCUCCUAGGACACUCUUCCCUCAAGGGCUCCCAUAUCUUGCCUGCUGGCUCCUGCAUCUUCUUCAAGUCUGCUCAAAUGUCACCUUCUCAGUGAGGCCCAUCCUGGCUAUCCUCUUUCAGUUCUGACAGAAAAUAAUUUAUUGCUUUAUUACAUCAUUAUUUUGUUGUCUUCCCUCCGUCUGUUCCUACUAAAAUUUAAUCUCUGAGAAAGCAGAAAACGUUGUCUUGUUCUUUCCUGUAACCCAAGUGCCUUGAACAUUGCCUCAUUAAUUGCUUGCGCUCAGUAAUAUGUGUUGAAUAAAUGGGUUAAGUAGUUUAUUAAUUGUGAAACUAAAUCCUGUCUGAAAGGUUUGGAGCAGCUUGUUGAAAUAGCAAAUGGAGAUUCUGUGUUUUAAGUUGUGGCUAAGGUAGAAUCAUCCAUGAUGUAUGUGGAGCCAGCUCCUGUGUCCUGGACUUAAACAUCUGUAUCUGACGUGUGGGUAAUUAUAUUGCUAUCCUACACCUUUGACCCAUUCAUCUCGGCUCACCUGUGAUCCAGGCUAUGCUACUAAAGUUGGGUGAGAGAGUCUGCAACACAAGGAAAACAUAGAGCCAUCAUUUAGUAAAUCAAACCCAUAAUAAUACAUUUUGUUGUUAAAUGUAGCCAAUCUCUGAGUAUUUUUUAUUAAAGUAUCUCUAAUGUUUAAAAACAUCUAACACAUUCAUCAUGUUUCAACUGUCCUCAGCCCCUGCUUGGCUUCCCUCCUGUAUGUGUCAGUGCCCAAAGUCCGGAAGGGGCCAAGGUGGCAGGGGUCUGGCGUGUCAGUGCCAACCUCAGUGUGUGCCCACCUGGCUGGGCUGUGACAGUGCCCGGGUUCGGCCCCAACCUUGCUUCAUGAUUGGAGCGGGCACUGGGAGCAGGGAGAGGCCAGGCAGUGGGAGCAGACACUUCGCAGGGGGGCCUUCCUGGGCCCCCAAGAGCACAGAGAUGCCUGGGUUUGCAGCCGGGCCUGGGCAGCUGCAGUGGCACCUGGGGAGGGCAGGGCUUCUGCCUGUUCCAUGGAGUGUACAACCCCAGCCGUGCCUCCCUGCUGCAGCCGAUGUCUUGGCAGUGGCCACUCUAGAUGGGUCACUGCUGCCACCAAUAUGACAUUAAUGAAGUAGACUUAAAGUUUUCAGGGGAUUUAAUUAAUCAUGAUUUUAAGUGGUGCUAAUGUUUCUGGAAAUUUAAUCUCUUAGACUUGACUUAUUUGAACAUUCAUCAUAGAGCAAGCUAAAGUUAUUGUUUCUAAUUUACAUAAAAAUUACUACCUAUAAAACAGAAUAAUAACUUUACAAGUUGAAAUAAAAGGUUUAAGAAAAUCUAGGUUUUUAAACAUAAGACUUUAAAAAUUAAAUAUUAUUUUAAUGGCUAGUAACUGUUGAUAGUCCAUUUGUGCACAACAACCCCCCUUGGGCAUUUGAAAAUAAAAAUCUCUACUGACCAUUUUGAAAGAAUGAGUUUGAGGAUACAUCCACAGGUUGGAGCUUCAGCAUGAGCAGGACAUGGAGAGCCCAGGAAACUUGAGCGAAAUCAUAGGGUCACAUCUGAAGAAGAAGUUGAUUACAUUCAAUUCUGGUCACCUGGCCCAUUAGUGGUGGCAUCAGACCCAGAAGAGGCAUCUGGAGGGGAGUUAGUGUGCAUCAAUUUUAGCAAUGAGUUAUAGAGUCUCUCAAUAACUGUGGCUUAAACAUUUAUUUUCCUCUUUUGUGGGGGUCCUGAGCUGGCCUGGUCCCUCAGCUCAGGGACCCAGCUUACUCUCCCUACAUCCCUAACAUCCAUGAGGUGGCUCUUAUUCUCAUUACUUCAGGCCUACAGAUCCUGCCCUUACACUUUGCAGCAGGAUAAAGGAAAAGGGCAAAAGAUGGGUGUCCACUGUUCUCUCAGGAAGAGUCUUGGUUGCCAUAUCAGGACACUUCUGCUUCCUUUCCGUUGGCCAGAACUCAGCCUCAUUACCAAACCUACAAGCAAUGCUGGGAAAUUGAGUCUCCACUUCUGGUGGCUAUGAGCCUUGCUAAAAAUCAGAUAUUCUAGAACUAUUACUAUGGAAAAAAGCAAAAGUAAAUAUCAGGAAAUGGGUACUUACUACUUACACAUGUUAUGUGGGCAGCAGCAAGCUAUAGGAUGUGAAAUUUUAAAUCUUAAGACUUUAUAUGGAAAUGGCACAGUUGAAAUAGGAUGGAAAUGAUAGUCAUAAGUAGUCACUGAAAUCUAUACAGGAAAACAUAGGCUUGUUCCUGCAAUGUCACAAAACACCAGCUGGGGAUUUUGUUCAAAACCCCAAAAAUGUCAUUUUAGGGCAGAUAAGUGUUCUUUUAGAAACAGCAUUUUAGAAACAAUCAAAAAACCGCCAAACUGAGGAACAAAUUAGCCUAUGAGGAGGUAUACAUGGAAAGUAUAAAUUGGGUCUAAACCUUUUUCUCUCUUUCUGUUUCUUUCUUUGUUUCUUUGUUUGUUCUUUCUUUCUUUCUUUCUUUUCCUUUCUUUCCUUUUCUUUCUUUCUCUUUCUUUCUUUCCUUCCUUCCUUCCUUCCUUCCUUCCUUCCUUCCUUCCUUUCCUUUCCUUUCCUUUCUUUCUUUCUUUCUUCCUUUCUUUUCUUGCGAUUUUCCUGCCUCAGCCUCCCGAGUAGCUGCUAUUACGGGGGCCUGCCACCAUGCCUGGCUAAUUUUUUUUUUUUUUUUUGUAUUUUUUAGUUGAGACAGGGUUUCAGUACGUUGGCCAGGCUGGUCUCGAACUCCUGACCUUGUGAUCCGCCUGCCUCGGCCUCCCAAAGUGCUGGGAUUAGAGACAUGAGCCACCAUGCCCGGCCCUAAAACUUUUUCAUAUGCAUACAUAUUUUUUGAGAUGGAGUCUCACUCUGUCACCCAGGCUGGAGUGCAGUGGCACAGUCUUGGCUCGCUGCAACCUCUGCCUCCUGGGUUCAAGCGAUUCUCCUGCUGGGAUUACAGGCGUGCACCACCAUGCUUGGGUAGUUUUUGCAUUUUUAGUAGAGUCGGGGUUUCACCAUGUUGGCUAGGCUGGUCUCAAACUCCUGACCUCAAGUGAUCUGCCCACCUCAGCCUCCCAAAGUGCUGGGAUUACAGGCAUGAGCCACUGCACCCAGCCAAGUAUCUUUUUUUUUCUUUUUCUCUUCUUUUCUUUUUUUCUGAUGGAGUCUCACUCUGUUGCCCAGGCUGGAGUACAGUGGCUUGAUCUCAGUUCACUGCAACCUCCCCCUCCCAGGUUCAAGCGAUGCCCCUGCCUCAGCCUCCCAAGUAACUGGGAUUACAGGAAGCCACCACCACCCCAGCUAAUUUUUGGAUUUUUAGUAGAGUCUGGGUUUUGCCAUGUUGGCCAGGCUGAUCUUGAGCUCCUGACCUCAGGUGAUCUGCCCGUCUUGACCUCCCAAAGUGCUGGGAUUACAGGCGUGAGCCACCGUGCUCCGCCUAAAGCUUUUUCAUAAUUUAAUCAAUGGCAUAUUCCUAGGAGAAACCAUAAAACGUUAAAAUAAACUGCUUUGCUUACACAGAAAACAGCCUUCUUGUAUAAAAUCCUGGGCUGGAAGUUCUUGUCAACAGGUUACCCUUCUAUUUUUUAUUUUUUAUUUUUUUUUGAGACAGAGGCUCACUCUGUCACCAGGCUGGAGUGCAGUGGCAUGAUCUCAGCUCACUGCAACCUCCACCUCCCAGGCUCAAGGUAUCCUCCCACCUCAGCCUCACAAGUAGCUGGGACUACAGGUACAGCCACCAUGCCUGGCUAAUUUUUUUGGGGGUAUUUUUUUGUAGAGACGAGGUCUUGCCAUGUUGCCUAGGCUGGUUUCAAAUUCCUGGGCUCAAGCAAUCUGCCUGCCUAAGCCUCCCAAAGUGCUAAGAUUACAGGCAUGAACCACUUCGUAACCACCAUCCAGACCAAAAUACAGAACAUUUCUGUGGCCGAAUUAAGUUCCCUCUUUCUUCUUAACUUCAUUUCCUGGAGUCUACCACUAUUGUGCCUCUAUAUCACCAUAGAUUCCUCUUGUUUAUUCUUGGCCUUCAUAUAAAUUGUAUCAUACAGUAUGUAUUCUUUUGGGUCUGAUUUUUUCAGCUCAACAUUAUGUCUGUGAGAGUCAUCCAUGUUAUUCUAGGUAUUAGGAGUUCAAUCCUUUUUAUUGCUCAGUAGUAUUCCAUUGCAUGAGUGUAACACAAUUUUUUUUUUUUUGAGAUGGGUUCUCACUCUGUCCUCCAGGCUGGAGUGCAGUGGUGCAAUCAUGGAUCACUACAGCCUCGACCUCCUGGGCUCCAAGUAACCCUCCUGCCUCAGCCUUCCAAGGAGCUGGGACUACAGGCACACAUCACCACACCUGGCCAUUUUUUUUUUUUUUUUUGGUAGAGCGGGGGUCUCACUAGGUUGCCUCCCCAAGUGCUGGGAUUACAGAUAUGAGCCACCACGCAUGGCCCAGAUGUAAAGUUCUAUCAACUUCAUCAUCAUCUUUUUUUUUUAAUUAUACUUUAAGUUCUAGGGUACAUGUGCACAACGUGUAGGUUUAUUACAUAUGUAUACAUGUGCCAUGUUGGUGUGCUACACCCAUUAACUCGUCAUUUACAUUAGGUAUAUCUCCUAAUGCUAUCCCUCCCCACUCCCCCCACCCCACAACAGGCCCCGGUGUGUGAUGUUCCCCUUCCUGUGUCCAAGUGUUCUCAUUGUUCAAUUCCCACCUAUGAGUGAGAACACGCGGUGUCUGGUUUUCUGUCCUUGCGAUAGUUUGCUGAGAAUGAUGGUUUCCAGCUUCAUCCAUAUCCCUACAAAGGACAUGAACUCAUCCUUUUUAUGGCUGCAUAGUAUUCCAUAGUGUAUAUGUGCCACAUUUUCUUAAUCCAGUCCAUCAUUGAUGGACAUUUGGGUUGGUUCCAAGUCUUUGGCUAUUGUGAAUAGUGCCACAAUAAACAUACGUGUGCAUGUGUUUUUAUAGCAGCAUGAUUUAUAAUCCUUUGGGUAUAUACCCAGUAAUGGGAUGGCUGGGUUAAAUGGUAUUUCUAGUUCUAGAUCCUUGAGGAAUUGCCACACUGUCUUCCACAAUGGUUGAACUAGUUUGCAGUCCCACCAACAGUGUAAAAGUGUUCCUAUUUCUCCACAUCCUCUCCAGCACCUGUUGUUUCCUGACUUUUUAAUGAUCGCCAUUGUAACUGGUGUGAAAUAGUAUCUCAUUGUGGUUUUGAUUUGCAUUUGUCUGAUGGCCAGUGAUGAUGAGCAUUUUUUCAUGUGUCUAUUGGCUAUUUCCUUUAGAGGCUACUGAGUCACUUCAUUCUGGCUGGUCCCCUCUACACCUUCAUCACCAUCCUGGAGAUUUCCUUCCCAUUUUCUCCCAUAUUGGAUCUCCUUUUUUUCUGGAGUCGAUGCCUUUUGUUUCCUUGGUUUAGUCUCUUCUUUUGGUGGAACACACCUUCCAGUUAGCUCCCUGUAAAAGGAAGCUGUCAGAAAAUGUCUCUCUUCUAUUCUCAUACCUAAUUGAUCAUUUUUGGCUGGAUACAGAACUCUAGCUCAAACAUGAUUUUCCCUCAGAAUUUUGAAGGCAUUACUCCAUUGGCUUCUUGCUUCCAGAGUUAUUGUUGAGAAAACUAAAUCCAUUCUCAUCUUGAUCAUUUGUAUGUGGCCUGUUUUUUUUUUCUCCCUCUCUGAAAGUUUAUAAGGGGUAUUCUUUUUCUUUUUAAUGUUCUGAACUUUUAUAGCAUUGUACAUUGGUGUAAAGUAAUUUUUAUUUAUUGGGCUGGGCCCUUUCAAUCAUGUCCAUAUCCUUCUGGUCAGGGUAAAAUUUUCCAUGUAUUUCAUGGGUGAUUCUUCUUUUUGAAACUUGUGUUAUUCAGAUGGGGGUUUUGGUGGGCUAGUCUUAGAAUUUUGUCUUCUUACUCUUUUUCCCAUUUCUUUGUGUUUUUUCUUUCCUUUCUGAGGGUUUGCCUCAAUGCUAUCUUUCAACCCUUCUAGCGAGUUCUUAAUGUCUGCUAUCAUGUUUUAAAUUUCCAAGAACUGUUUCUUUGUUCUGAAUAUCUCAUCUUUCCUUUAAAAAAAAUUGUUUCUGAGCUAGAUGUGGUGGGGUGUGCCUGUAGUUCCAGCUACUUGGGAGGCUGAAGUGGGAGGCUUGGGCCCAGGUUUUCAAGGCCAGCAUGAGCAACAUAGCAAGAUCCUGUCUUAAAAAAAAAAAAAAAGAAAAAGAAAAAAAUUGUUUCUAUUUCAUUGAUGCAGUGUCCCUUAUUUUUCUUAUAAUAUUAAUGAGUUUCUUUUUUUUGUUUAAAAUAUUUUUUUCCUUGCAUAGUUUCUGUUUCUGCCAAUUCAUUUUUUCUUUUAGUUUGUUAGGCUCUUUAUCCAUAUAAUCUAGCUAAUGGGUUUUGGCAGGCUAAUGAAUAUAUAAAUUUGGAGUCAAGGGAAGAGGUUGGAGAAUAAAAAUUUUAUCCAACUCAGAGAGCUGUUAUAAAAAUUAAGUGAUGUAAUGCAUAUAAUUUGCUUAGCACAGGUCUGGAAUAUAGUAAGCAUUCAAAUGUUAGAUGUUAUUUUUUAUUUUAUUAUUUAAUGGCUGCAUCAUACUCUUUUAGCAUAGCAUAUAGAUGAACAUAAUUCACCUCGCCAUUCCUCUACUGCUAUUGAAGAUCGGGCUUACUUUUUCACUUUUUACUAUUAUAUAAAUAGGGAUUGGUAUUUUUCUGAAAGCAGCUUUAGUCACAUAUUUUUAAACUUUCAUUAUGUAAUAUAUAUUUUUUUGAGACAGGAUUUUGAUCUGUUACCCAGGCUGGAGCACAGUGGCACGAUCAUAGCUUACUGCAGCCUUGACUUCCCAGGCUCAAUCUGUUCUCCUUCCUCAGCCUUCUGGUUAAGCUGGGACUACAGGCACGUGACCCACACCCAACUAAUUAAUUUUUUUUUUUUUUUUUUUUUUUUUUUUGUAGAGGUAGGGUUUCUUUAUGUUGCCUAGGCUGGUCUCAAACUCCUGAGCUCAAGCAAUUCUCCUGUCUUGGCCUUCCAAAGUACUGGUAUUACAGGUGUGAGUUACCGUGCCCAGACUCAUUAUGGAAUUUUCAAUCAUGUACAAAAGUAAAGAAAAUGGUAUAAUAAACUCCUGCAUACCCAUUAUUUAGUUUCAACAAUAGCCAUUUUUGGUCAAGUAUCCAAAGAUGUUCAUGUUUAAUGGGCCAUCUUGUUUUAUCUAUAGUAUAUGGAUUCUAUACCAGUGCUGUCUAAUAAAAAUAUAAUGUAAACUACAAAGGAAAACCAUGUUUGUAAUUUAAAACCUAACUUAAUGUAACCUAAAAUGUUCUAGUAGCUACAUUUGAAAAAUAUGAAAGAAAGAAGUGAAAUUUAUUUAUUUAUUUAUUUAAGACAGGGUCUUACUCUAUUGCCCAGGCUGGAGUGUAGUGGUGCAAUCAUAGUUUGUUGAAGCAUCAAAUUCCUGGACUCAACCGAUCUUCCAGCCUCAGCCUCAUGAGUAGCUAGGACUAUAGGCAUGUGCCAACAGGCCUGCUAAUUUUUAAAGUUUUUGUACAGACAGAGUCUCCCUGUGUUGCCCAAGCUGGUCUGGAACUCCUGGCCUUAAGUGAUCCUCCCAUCUCACCUCAGCCUCCCAAAGUGCUGAGAUUAUAAGUGUGAGCCAUUGUGCCUGGCCUGUGAAAUUAAUUUUAAUAAUACAUUUUAUUUUACUCAAUGUAUCCAAAAUAUUGUUUUAAUAUAUAACCAGUUUCCAAGUUAUUAAUGACAUAUUUUAAUUUUUUUGGUACUAAGUCUUCAAAAUCUAGUGUGUACUUUACAUUCAUUGCAUAUCUCAACUGGACUAGCUCAAUAGCCAUAUGUGCCUAGUGGCUCCCCUAUGAGAAAAUGUGAAUAUGCUCACCAAACAGGAUUAAUGUGAAGCAGAUCCCAGACAUUAUAUCAGUGUAUCCAUAAAUAUUUCAAUAUGUAUCUGUAAUAACAAUGUCCGUAUUUUUAAAAAAGGUUUCCUUAGAAUUAAUUUUUAGAAAUACGGUUGUUGGAUUGAGGAAUGUGCACUUUUAAAAUCUUGCAGCAUAUUAUAGCUACUUUUUCGGAACGUUAGAUUAAUUUACACUCCUUUCUGGAGUGUGUGAUGGAGCCCAUGUCACCCUCAUAGAGUGUAUUUGGAUCCCUGACCAUGGUUCUGAAAUCUACAGAAAGGCAGUAAGACUUCCUCUCUGUUGUGAGAGGUCAAAUUUUGUUUUGUUUUGUUUUAAUGGCUUAAAACAAGUUUUAUUCUCUUACAGUUCUAAAGGUCAGAAGUCUGAAUUCAGUUUUACUGGGCUAAAGUCAACGUUUUGGCUUUUAGAGGUUCCUUUUGGAGACUCUGAGGGGAUAAUUUGUUUCCUUGCUUUUUCAGCUUCUCAUGGCCACCUAUGUUCCUUGACUUGCCCCUUCCUCCAUCUUUCAAGUGCAUCAUCCCAAUCUUUACUUGUAUUCAUCACACCGCCUUUUCAUCUGUGAGAAGUCAAGUUCUAGUGAUGAUUCAGAGGUGACUUUUAAGCAGAUAAGAGCAAAGGGACACAAGCAGGAACCUGCCAGACAUAGUGGUGUGUACAUGUAGUCCCAGCUACUUGGGAGGCUGAGAAGGAAGGAUUGCAUGAGCCCAGGGGUUCAAGUCCAGCCUCAGCAACAUAGACCCCAUCUCUAAAAUAAAUGAAUAAAUAAAUAAAUAAAAUAAAAUAAAAUAAAAACAUGGGCUUCUUGGAACUCUACUUUUAUUUAGAAAAGAAGAAAGCAGAUGACAGAAGAUAGAGGGAGGUAACAAUAACAAGAGAGACAGACUUCUGGGUAAAAAUGGCUGAUAAAACACAAACUGAUAUCUAAGUGCAUAUCUUCCUGAUGCCUGACUAGAACAACAGUGGGGGCUGUCCUUAAAUACUUGCCUUGUUUUCUUUCUUUCUUUUCUUUUCUUUUCUUUUCUUUCUUUUUCUUUUUCUUUUCUUUUCUUUUUUUUUUGAGAUGGAGUCUCCCUCUGUUGCCCAGGCUCGAGUGCAGUGGCACAAUCUCGGCUCACUGCAACCUCCGCCUCCUGGAUUCAAGCGAUUCUCCUGCCUCAGCCUUCCGAGAAGUUGGGAUUAUAGGCACCUGCCAUCCUGCCCAGCUAAUUAUUGUAUUUUUAGUAGAGAUGAAAUUUCACCAUGUUGGUCAGGCUGGUCUCGAACUGCUGAGCUCAGGUGAUCCACCCGCCUUGGCCUCCCAAAAUGCUGGGAUUACAGGCAUGAGCGAGCCACCACUCCUGGCACCUCGUUUGUUUUCUGUUUAAGGUGAGGGGAUAAAAAGCUGAUUGGAAGUUUUGAGUUAUUGAUUCAAGCUUCACUGUAGGAUAAUCUGACUAGCAAACUGCAAAUGCCAGCACAUUUGUGUCCUUUCUCCUGGACUUCUUGGAUUCCUCACAAAAGAAUCUUCCAAAGUCCUGACUAGAGGGUAGAGUUAACCUAGAACCUGGGAGUUGAUGGGGUUAGAGGCUUGGAGUCUAAACACUGAAUAUGCCUUGGUUUCCUUAAUCUUGUUGUUUUGGUAUGACACCUCCACCUGUAACUGUGCCUUGUGCCUUCCAGUUCCUGUGCUUGGGUUAGGAAGAGGCAGUCACUCAUCAGCAAAGAGUAGAAGGUAUCUAGGAACCACUAUUCUUUUUUUUUUUUUCUUUUCGAGAAGGAGUCUUGCUCUGUCGCCCAGGCUGGAGUGCAGUGGUGCAAUCUCGGUUCACUGCAACCUCUGCCUCCCGCGUUCAAGCGAUUCUCCUGCCUCAGCUGCCUCAGUCUCCUUAGUAUCUGGGAUGACAGGUGCUCUACCACACCUGGCUAAUUUUUGUAUUUUUAGUAGAGACAGAGUUUCACCAUGUUGGCCAGGCUGGUCUUGAACUCCUGACCUCAUGAUCCACCCGCCUCAGCCUCCCAAAGUGCUGGGAUUACAGGCAUGAGCCACUGCACCUGGCCAGAAUCACUAUUCUUAAACAGCUUUAAUUAUCUUUAUUUUGUGCUUGCCAACCCAACUUGCAGCUGUACUUGAUGCCACAGAUUCCUGAGCUUUUUGAGAACACUGCUGUUUACAUUGGUUGAUUUUUUAUUUUCUCAUUGUUUUAGGAUUGUGCUUUCUUGGGUCUGCUAAGUCAGUUACCCCUGGUCCACCAUGCCAAAAUGUUUUUGUUGUUUUCUUUUCUUCUUUUCUCUCCAUGCUUAUGGAUAUGUGCUGGUAUAAACAGUUUUUGUUUUUUUAAGAAAAUAGUCUGGAUCUUAACCUUCCUCUUACUAAACCCUCUCUCCCUGCUAUAUUCACAUGUCAUUUAAUAGCAACUCUAUCCUUUCAGUCACUCAGGCAAAAAUAUUGGAAUAACUUUUAACCCCUCUUUUUCUCUCUCACUCCAUGUACAUUCAUCAGCAAACACUGUGGGCUCUACUUUCACAUAUAUCCGGGGUCUGACCAUUGCUCACAGCCUCUACUGCUACCAACCUGAUCCAAGCCAUCAGCAUUUCUCAUCUGGAUUAUUAAAAUCACCCACCAACUGGUUUUCCUGUUUCUGCUCUUGUCUCCUUUGUUUUUUAUCACUGUAACUAGAAACAGAAGCCAGAUACCCCUCCUUUGUUCAGAACUCUAAAUGGGGCCCCCUUGCACCAUCUACUCCGUCUUAACUCCCUUACCCUAUCUCCUCCAUCUUCCAGUCAUUUAUUCUGCUCCAAUCACAAUGGCCUUUGUAUUUGUGGUCUCUUUUGCUUAGAAUGCUCUUCCUCCAGAUAUUCAAAUGGCCGACUCCUUCACAUUUUCCAAGUGUUCGUUCAGACGUCACCUUAUCUGAAAAGACUUUUCUGACCUAAUGGCGUCCCCAUCUCAUGCUCCUGGCACUUUCCUUUCCCCUUACUUUUCUUUAUAUUUCUCCAGAUCACUUAUAAUCCCCUGUACAGUGUGUAUUUAGUUGGUUAGUGUCUGUCUCCCCCACUAGAACGUUGGCUCCCUGAAGGCAAGGACUUUGUCUACAUUGUUAAUUGGUGGAGUUAUGCCACCUACACAGGAUCUUACUCAGAGGAUGAAUUCAAUCAAUAUUAGUUGAAUGAACAAAUGAACAAGCAGUUGAAUUGAAUGGCUGUAUUAAAGGAAACUGAGGCAUAGAAAACUUAAGAUUUUUAGACAAAGAUCACACAACAAUGAACAGCAGAACUAGGAUGUGUGAACCAGGUUUUUGUGAUGUGAAAGCCUGAGUUCUUAAUCAUUUUGUUUGAUAUUUGGGAAUAAUUUUUAAUGAGAUCUGAAAAUGCUAAUGGUAUAAUGCUGUGAACGAAGGAAAUAUAAAAUUGUAAUUCCAGCAUGAUCUUAACUAUGUACAAAUAU
This 12206-nucleotide long non-coding RNA is filed under the name Homo sapiens (human). RNAcentral describes it as "non-protein coding ENTPD3-AS1:19". Lineage: Eukaryota; Metazoa; Chordata; Mammalia; Primates; Hominidae. The record is from RNAcentral.